AGGAUGAACGCUAGCGGCAGGCCUAAUACAUGCAAGUCGAACGGGAUUGGGGCUUCGGCCCCAUGAGAGUGGCGUACGGGUGCGUAACGCGUAUGCAACCUACCUUGAUCAGGGGGAUAGCCCGGAGAAAUCCGGAUUAACACCGC
RNAcentral lists this ribosomal RNA (146 nucleotides) under uncultured soil bacterium. RNAcentral describes it as "partial 16S ribosomal RNA". It matches the Rfam family "Bacterial small subunit ribosomal RNA", at positions 26 to 172 of the family's 1533-position model. The record is from RNAcentral.